ACUGUAGGCUGCAACUCGCCUACACGAAGUUGGAAUUGCUAGUAAUCGUGGAUCAGCGUGCCACGGUGAAUACGUUCCCGGGUCUUGUACACACCGCCCGUCACACCAUGAGAGUCGGGAACACCCGAAGUCCGUAGUCUAACCGCAAGGGGGGCGCGGCCGAAGGUGGGUCCGGUAAUUGGGGUGAAGUCGUAACAAGGUAUC
Molecule: ribosomal RNA, 204 nt
Filed under: uncultured bacterium
Lineage: Bacteria
Description: partial 16S ribosomal RNA
Rfam family: Bacterial small subunit ribosomal RNA
Source: RNAcentral